AUGCUCACUUUGGCAGCACAUAUACUAACACUGGAAUCAUACAAAAAAGAUCAGUGUGGCCUGCAUAAGAACAACAUGCAAAUUUAUGAAGUAUUCCAUUUUACA
Small nuclear RNA from Nannospalax galili (Upper Galilee mountains blind mole rat), 105 nucleotides. The record is from Ensembl. Lineage: Eukaryota; Metazoa; Chordata; Mammalia; Rodentia; Spalacidae.